This is a long non-coding RNA of Neofelis nebulosa (Clouded leopard), 1342 nucleotides long. RefSeq lists it as uncharacterized. The record is from RefSeq and is a predicted model, not a curated record. NCBI's taxonomy places the organism in Eukaryota, Metazoa, Chordata, Mammalia, Carnivora, Felidae. The transcript has 2 exons.
AGAGAGAGAGAGAGAGAGACCUAGCAUGAGGGGGAGGGGCAGGGAGAGAGGGAGACACAGAAUCUGAAGCAGGAUCCAGGCUCUGAGUGGUCAGCACAGAGCCCCGAUGUGGGGCUCGAACUCACGGACCAUGAGAUCAUGACCUGAGCCGAAGUCAGACACUCAACCAAUUGAGCCACCCAGGCGCCCCAUGAUUAUAUAAAGAAGUGAAAAUCAAAUCACGAUCCCUUUGGAUUUUAUCACAAAUUGUAAAUUUAUAUUGUACAAUUAGAAUGGGUCAUACAUUCAACAAUUAAUGUGACUUAAUACACAGUAGAAAAUUGUGACUACAGAUACACCACGUUCAGGAACUUUUGACAAAGCCAAGUUGUCCAAUGUUUAACCUACUCAAGGAAAUAAUUUAGCAAGUUGUUUUCUGCUAAGAUCCCCCUUAAUUUGGUAAAGAAAAUGCUUGGCUAGUUUUAGCAAUUCUGUCAGAAUGGGCACCAGCCCAAUUACAUGGAUCAGAGACCAACUUGCCAGCACUUAACAGAAUUUUAAAAAUGCUUGUGCUCUUGGAAUUUAAAUAGGCUGAUGACCAUGAGAGGAUCUGAGCCCAUGUCCUUUGCUUUGAAGGUAAUCCUGAAUAGGAAGAAUUACUACUAAGUUAAAGUCUAGGCUUCUUCAAGUAACUGAGCUCUGAGAGAUGUCAGUAGUGUUUUCAUAAGAGGGCUAAGAUAGUAACAGCAUUCCUGUACUUAUGUCUAUAAAACCAGUGACUAAGCAUCUUCAAAAGCACUUUUGCUAUUUGUCCAAAUAUGUUGUCAUGCCCAAGAAUUUCUCUUUGGAAAAUCUUCCAUAUAUAGAUAGAUAGAUAGAUAGAUAGAUAGAUAGAUAGAUAGAUAGAUAUGGAUAUAGAUAUAGAUAUCAUUGAUAUGUCAUUGUUCUCUGAUGAAAACACAAUGAAAAAAAAGCAAGUAACUCUUAAUCUUCACCCAACUAACAAAGAUAGUCACAUACUAGAAUUUAAUUUCAUAACAUUUAAUCUAACCUUUAAUUUCAGUUUGUCCCAAAUCUGUUUUUUAGGUAGAGUGAAAUUUGAGAUAAUUCACAACAACUGUAACAAAAUUCCAAAAACUGCUAUGAAAAAGCCAAACACUCAUCAUAAUCAAAUCCAUUCCAAAUUAACAAAAUGAUCCUACUGUUUUACUUAUAUAUAGAUAGGACCAUUGAGGAGAACGUUGCUAACACAAAAUAAUUAAAUAUUUCUCAAUUAAUAUCCUACUGAGAUACUUUUAAUUUCCUGAAAAUAGCAGCAGACUGGUUCAAAAACUGAAUUAAAAACAAAAGACUAAUAUCCUAA